RNAcentral lists this long non-coding RNA (459 nucleotides) under Dasypus novemcinctus (nine-banded armadillo). RNAcentral's name for it is "lncRNA (ENSDNOG00000051078.1)". The record is from RNAcentral. Lineage: Eukaryota; Metazoa; Chordata; Mammalia; Cingulata; Dasypodidae.
CACCGCAGCAUGGUGGGGAGGAAAGGCUUGGGUUUUGCGCGUGCGCAGAGUUGCCUCGCUGUAUCUUUGCGCUCUCGCAGUCUUAACUGGAAAGCCGCACGAGUCCCAGGAAGCGACUUGUGUAGGUUCACAGAGUGAAGUUUGCGCGGCUGGGGUUGCCGCGCGUCCGGGUAGAAGCCCGAGCCGGAGGAGGGAGAUCAGUGUGUUUCUAACCUUGGAGGUAAAAGUGGCGGGAAUAGUAGGCCGUGGGCCUGUGGGCUCUGGAGACAUAAACCCCAAGUAAAUUCCAGGUCUGUCACCUGUCAUCAGGGGAGAGAAGAAAUCUGGGAAAGAGUCAGUUUACUCACUGAAAAUGAGGUUAUUAAUAAUGAUUGCUUCAGGACGUUGUUUUGAGACCUCAUUAAGUGUCCCCUGUAAUUAUAUGAGUGCCUGGUACAAAACACUAAGUGACAACGGCUU